AAAUUCUCAAGCUGGAUGCUUUUUUCCUCCAAAAAGUUCAUCUUAGUUUGGUGUUGGGCCUUGCCGUGACCCAUUUGUUGGGAACGGCUGACCUUAAAAUUAUUAGCUGGCGCUCAUGUGGGGAUUGGUUCUACUCAGCAUGAUAUAAUGAAUGUGUAACUGCUGAGGACAUUCCUUUGGGGGGAUGGCCAAGCUCUGUUUGGGGGUUGCUUCAAAAAUCCUGGUUUGCAGAUUCCUUGAGUCUGCUCCCAGUCACACUCGA
This 262-nucleotide unclassified non-coding RNA is filed under the name uncultured Cantharellales. RNAcentral describes it as "sequence contains ITS2". Lineage: Eukaryota; Fungi; Basidiomycota; Agaricomycetes; Cantharellales. The record is from RNAcentral.